Molecule: transfer RNA, 76 nt
Filed under: archaeon 13_2_20CM_2_52_21
Lineage: Archaea
Also listed under: 1 other name
Description: tRNA-Glu
Rfam family: tRNA
About the family: Transfer RNA (tRNA) molecules are approximately 80 nucleotides in length.
Source: RNAcentral
GCUCCGGUGGUGUAGCCCGGUUUAGCAUAGCGGCCUUUCGAGUCGCUGAUCGCGGGUUCGAAUCCCGCCCGGAUGG